This 692-nucleotide ribosomal RNA is filed under the name Lichtheimia brasiliensis. RNAcentral's name for it is "LSU rRNA". It matches the Rfam family "Eukaryotic large subunit ribosomal RNA", at positions 54 to 651 of the family's 3401-position model. Lineage: Eukaryota; Fungi; Mucoromycota; Mucoromycetes; Mucorales; Lichtheimiaceae. The record is from RNAcentral.
AGGAAAAGAAAAUAACCAUGAUUCCCCUAGUAACGGCGAGUGAAGAGGGAAAAGCUCAAAGUUGGAACCUGGCUGACUUAGUUGGUCCGGAUUGUAAACUAAAGAGUAAGACUCCAGGCAAGCCGGUUUACCAAGUUCCUUGGAAUAGGACGCCACUGAGGGUGAGAGCCCCGUAAGUAAACUGAGCAUCUGUCUUUUGUGUGUCUUGCUUAAAGAGUCAGGUUGUUUGGGAAUGCAGCCUAAAGUGGGUGGUAAAUCCCACCUAAAGCUAAAUACUGGCGAGAGACCGAUAGCGAACAAGUACCGUGAGGGAAAGAUGAAAAGAACUUUGAAAAGAGAGUUAAACAGUAUGUGAAAUUGCCAAGAGGGAAGCGUUUGGAGUUAGACUGACUGGAGGUCAAUCAACUUGGUUUUCGAACUGGGUGUACUUGGCCUUUAUGUCGGCCAGCAGCAGUUUGCUUUGAUGGAAAAUACUUGGGGAAAGGUAGUCCUUCGGGAUGUUUAUAGACCCUUGGAAGAUACAUUGGAGUAGACUGAGGAACGCAGUAGAUGCUUUCAGGCUUCGUCUUGUGGCUCUUGUGUGAGGUGGACCCGUGUUUUCAGCCUAGCUGAUGCUCUGGUGCUCCAAGUUCAAGUAGUUAUUCGAACUGUAAUCUACUAUGGUUGCUGGCUUAAUGACUCUAAACGACCCG